This 3324-nucleotide long non-coding RNA is filed under the name Homo sapiens (human). RNAcentral's name for it is "HSALNT0033013". Lineage: Eukaryota; Metazoa; Chordata; Mammalia; Primates; Hominidae. The record is from RNAcentral.
GUUGGAUCUAAAACCAGAUGUCUUUGAAGAAACUAUCAGGUCUGGUAAGAAUAAGAGGAAACAAAAUGUUAUUGGCAUGCUCAAUAAUGAUAAAGCCAAGAUGUCACCUGCCAGUACAAUGAAGAGGGACUGGGGUCUUGGCACUAAAAGUCUCCCUGAAUUGCCAUCAUGUCAUGAAAAAUACUUUGUUUUAAACUUAAUGGAAUGGAUUGUCAUUUUGGUGGAUUUUUGCCAGUGAAGAAUUUAUCAGACUCAAUAGCCUCCAUCACUUGGCAGGACAGAAAGGCCUCGAAAGCCUCUUUCAGUAUCUCUGAGCAUACCUAACAUUUAGAAAGGUAGGCCUGUGUAGCAAGUGUGAAAGUGUUCCUCUCCAUGCCCUUACGGCUUUACUCAACCAUGUUUCCUCUUUUAUCAUUUAUUGGAAAAACCUUUUACUAUCUCUUCUUACUUCCUUUCCUUUGUUAGCUACAAAGGGAAGAUUUUCUUUUGCAAAUCCUUAGUAAUUAAAUGAGCACUUCAGUGGCUGUAGCCCUCAAUGGCCUGUUUCCUAGGUUUUGCCUUUGACAGUCAUAUUUUGCAAAGGCCCCUGAGAUGACUCUGCAUCUUCCCCUACUCAACGCUAAACCAACUGAAGCCCGUGCUCACUGCAUGAAGGAGGAAAAGAUUCAUUAAGGGCACUUCAUUAAGAGGCUGAAAUGGGAAGCUCUAAAUGCGCCUGAACCAACUACAAUCCAGAGAAGCUGUCUAUUAGGAGUGCCACAAAGACAGUUUCGGAAGCUAAACUCCAGCUCCAGUGCAUCGGAUUAGGAAGAGUGAUGGGAUUAGUGUUUAAUGACUUGGGGCAGGAGACAAAGGGAAUUUCGACAAAGAGGCUUAGAUAUGGAAGAAUUAACACUCUGUAUUCCAACCAGGCCUCUGAUGACUUCCAGCAUUCUUUUCAGACUCAAAAGCCAAGGGAAGGGAAUAAAAAAAAAAAAAAGAUGUGCAAAGCUUUAAUACUUUUCUAACUUUUUUUAUUGCAACAACAAUACAGAGGAAAUAAAAGAACCCUAUUCACUCCUUUGGACUUGAAACCUCUUUUAAAAAUAAGCAUCUACAAUUGUAUAAUUAGCCCCAAGGUGAGCUUGCCCAGGGCCUCAAACAUGUGCCAGAAUGCUUCUCUGCUUCCUAAUGCUAGGGCAAGUCACAAACUGAUGUGGACACUAAAGCAAAACCUAUGGUAGCAGAGGCCCAGCUAAGUGGCUGUACAAGAUUUUUUUCUCUCCAUGGCUGUUUAUGUUACAGGUGCAACUGAAGGAACAGAGAAACUGUGUAAUUGUAAAACCUCCUUGUGGCCCCACAUGGCUCAUACUCAAAUGAUUCCAGUGUCUAUGGCCUGAGAAGUGCUUCAUGAAAUGAGGUGAUUAUCUUGACUACAUGAGGGGAUAACUUUGGAAAUGUGCUUAAAGUUCAAAAGUGCUCUUGAAAAGGCAUCAAGUCAACUCAGAGGCAAUGUUGGAGCUUAUCUGUAGCAUUUCCCCCGGCUUGGACAAGAAUACGGCAUCAUUAUCUAAACACAAAGCCAAAUGAACAGUGCCUCAAGUCAGAGAUUGGCAUGGUGAGUCGCCGGGAGGUGGAAAAGAGGCACAGCUUCAUUGAAGCUACAGUUGGCUGCAAGGAACCAUUUCAAAUCAUCUUAGUUCUACGGGGCCAUUCAGGUGGCAAAGGCCCAGGUAACAUUUGAUCAAGUUGCUACAGGGCUUGGACCUACUUUUAUUGCCCCUUACUUUUCCCACUAACAUUUUUGCUUGAAAUAUCGAUGUUUUUUUGGUGCAGCAAAACUCUUUUCCCACAGCUAAAUUGAAGUAGGGCAUAUGUGCUUCCCUCACCUCGCUCCCAGUCCCUCUUGACCCCGAAAUGGUCUAGCAGCCUGUGCUUUGUUAAACUGAAAAUGUGUAGAAAUUUUUAUAGAGAUAUUCAGCUAUAUAAAUAGCUUUGAAAUUUGUCAUAACUUUAAAAACAGGUCAAAAAGGAAAUUGAACAGCUAGUGAGUUUCUGUCUUAGUCCGUUUUGUGCUGCUAUAACAGAAUACCAUAAACUAGGUAAUUUAUAAACAAUAGAAGUUUAUUUGUCUCAAUGGCCAACAAGCAUAUGGAAAAAUGUUCAACAUCACUAAUUAUCAGGGAAAUACAAAUCAAAACCACAGUGCGAUACCACGUAACUUCUGCAAUAAUGGUCAUAAUCAAAAAAUAAUAAUAAAUAAAUAGAUGUUGGCAUGGAUAUGGUGAAAAGGGAACACUUUUACUGGGUUGGUGGGAAUGUAAACUAGCACAACCACUAUAGAAAACAGUAUGGAGACUCCUUAAAGAACUAAAAGUAGACCUACCAUUUGACCUAGCAACCCCACUGCUAUGUAUCUGCUCAGAAGUAAAGAAGUCAUUAUACAAAAAAGACACUUGUUACAUGCAUGUAUAUAGCAGUACAAUUGCCCAAAUGCCCAUCAAUCAAUGAGUGGAUAAAAAAUGUUAUAUACAUACAUAUAUGUGUGUGUAUAUAUACAUAUACAUAUACACACACACACACAUACACACACACACACACACACACACACAUAUACCAUGGAAUACUGCUCAGCCAAAGAAAGGAAUGAAAUAAUGGGAUUUGCAGCAACCUGGAUGGAAUUGGAGGCUAUUAUUCUAAGUGAAGUAACUCAGGAAUAGAUAACCAAACAUACAUGUUCUCACUCAUAUGUGGGAACUAAGCUAUGAGAAUGCAAAGGCAUAAGAAUGAUAUAUUGGAGUUUGGAGACUCAAAGGAAAGAGUGGGGGAGAGGGAGGGAUAAAAGACUACACAUUGGGUACAGUAUACAAUGCUUGAGUGAUGGGUGCAACAAAAUCUCAGAAAUCCCCACUAAUGAGCAUAUUCAUGUAACAAAAUACCAUCUGUUCCCCAAAACUUAUUGAAAUAAAAAAUAAAAAAUUAAUGAUAAUAACAAUAAAAAGAAGUUUAUUUGUCUUAUGUUUCUGGAGGCCAGGAAGUCCAAGAUCAAGGGGUUGCAUCUAGUGGGGGUCUUCUUGCUGAGUCAUAACCUGGCAGAAGACAUCACAUGAAGAGAGAAUGGAUGAGAGCCAGCAAGCAAGAGAGGGCCAAACUUGCUUUUAUAACAAACCCAUUCCUGACAUCAUGAACUUACCCCUGCCAUAAUGACAUUAAUCCAUUCCAGGGGGCAAAGCUCUCAUGACCUAAUCACCUCUCAAAAGUGCCACCUCUCGAUGCUGUUGCAUUGGGGAUUAAGUUUCCAACACAUGAACUCUGGGGAGAUGCAUUCAAACCUUAGCAGUUUAA